RNAcentral lists this long non-coding RNA (5148 nucleotides) under Pan troglodytes (chimpanzee). RNAcentral's name for it is "long non-coding RNA NONPTRT004115". The record is from RNAcentral. Lineage: Eukaryota; Metazoa; Chordata; Mammalia; Primates; Hominidae.
GCAGGAAUUUACAUUAUUAGAAGAGCAUGAAAACUGCUGCUCAGAAACAUUUACUUUCCCCUAAGGCCACCUUCUUUCUAGGCAGGGGAGGGGGCUAGACAAGGGUCCUGGAAUCCAUUUCAUUAUCCCAACUUUAUUUUGAGCUUAUUUCCAUUUUAUAGCCAUGGAAACCUUCAAGUACUACUACACAUCCAUCACCACCACCUGAGGCCAAAGGCCCAGAACAUUCUAUAGCACUGUCUUAACAAAUAUCCUUAAACACUGAUUUUUUUCAGAUUAGGACUAAAGAUUUAAAUGUUUCUUUAUCAUGCACUGCAUUUCUCAACAUGCACAACAGUUGCAGGAUGGGUGAGAGAAUGUGACUAAAGAGUACUGAAAUACCCCACAGAAACUUAACUUCUGUAAGGAUGGACUCAUCCCCACCAACCUGGACAUCUGAUCAAGUGACCGUCUUCAACGCUGUUAUUUGAACAAAUUGUAAUUCACACACAUACACAUCUGCAACAGAUUUAUUUUUUAAAGGAAUGGAUUUUGAGAGAAAACGUGGGCAGAAGUAUGGAAUAGAAAAUAAAUACAAAUGUAGGCUAUUCUGCUAAUUGUUUUAUAACCACGACAAACUAGUACAGAGAAUGCCCUGUACAAAACACAACAAAGGUUCAAACAUCGAGAUGUUCCCUUAGCAAGGCUGAAAAUUUCAGUCUCUGGUAUUUGGAAUUUAGGCUGCAGUCCUUGUUUUUGGAUGGAUCACUGGGUGUGUGGCACAGUCCAUGCUUUUAACCAGAUUUGAACAGAAGAAUGGCCACUUGGCCCAGGUAGAAGUAGAUGAAGUGUUUGGUUUCAUGUGUCACAUAACUACCGAAGUUCCUCCCCACGAUGCAAUGCCAGGUGGGAUUGUACUUCUUGUCAAAUUCCUGGGAAAGACAAAAGAAAAGAACUAGAAUUUUAAUUACCAGAGGUCAGUGUUUGCCUCUUGGAUAAGCCAGAGCCUGUAGGGGCAGAAAGGAGGAACGUCAGCAUCUGCAAAUUCUUAGAAUGAAAGAAUGUUCCCCAGCUCCAAGCCGCCUACAUAGUACAUUAAUACAAACAUACUUGCAGUCUGAGCGAAGAUGGGAAUGGAGGCUGAGGAGGUCAAAGGACGAAAGGUCAGCCUUAAAGACAGGGUGUUUUGUUAUUAUGGUAAUUACACCUUCAUACCUUCUAUAAUAUUCAUUGACAGACGGUGACAUCAACAGGUGUAGUUUAUCAUGUUCUGUGUAGAGAACUAAACUACCCUACUGUAUUUGCCGUGCCCCCAAUUCCAAGAAAACGGCAAAAAAUUAGCCCAUCCCAUUCCUCAUCACAAAGAUCUUAACUGCAUCCCUGCAACACAAGACUUUUCCAAUAGGACAAAACUUCAAACAGCAUUGUAUACCAAAUGAUUGCGGAUCAAAAUUAAAUUUACAGGGACACAAUACUGAAGCACUCCACUGUUGCUGUAAAAACUGCUGGAAACAGAAUCUGUCAACUGGCCAAAUUUUAUCCUUAAUUAUUAUCCAAACAGCCGUCCUCUUCACAUCUAUCCGGAUGAUGCUAAUCUACUACCCUGUCCACUAGGUUAGCAAGUUGUAGGAACAACUCUUCACCAUUUCUCCCACCCUAAGAGGUACUGGGGAGUAGAAUGCCUGUGGGGGGCAUUGGGUGGCAACGGUUAUCUUUCUCUGCGAAAUUCUUACAAGUGUUUGUGGAGCGUCACACAAGAUUUAGCUACUCUAACUGCACGCAGUGCGAAAACCUUUUAAAGCUAUGAAGGGGAGUAACGCUCUUGCAAGCUAGAGGCACGCACUGCUGCGUUUGUCAAAAAAGGCAUUUAUUUCUGUUCCAUCUGAAGUCUUUCAUCUUCCCAUUCUCGACUGGAACCCUCCCACGGCUUAGGCUGCCAGCUUUCUUCCCUUCCAGCAAACACUGCUCGAGAAGUUGGCAGUCCUGCCGGCUUUCUAGACUGCCAUUUACCAAGCCCCCACCCCAGCCCCCAGCCCCGCCACCACCCACCUUCCCUCAACUCCCCACUGGAAGGUUGGCAAGAUCUCCUCCCGGCCCGGCUGGAAACACCCACGCAGCUCCCCCCUCCGGAACACCCAGAUGGAUCCUCGGCGCAGGAACCACACAGAAGGGGGAACCGCUGCUCCCUGAUCUUAGAUACCGUUGCUAGGUGGCGCUUUCCCCCCGCGGAGCUGGGUAAUUAAAAAAAAAAAAAAAACUUCGGACGCCGGGGGUCUGGUCUUCUCCACAGGAGCGCAAAAUGCAUCUGCGUCCUUUCUGGAAGCUUCUACGCCCCAAGCCGCCAGCGGUGUUCCCGGGACCUGUCAGGCGCCCUUAGGAAAGCAGGAUCGGGGGGAAGGAACCCCCUGCUCCCGGCUGCGUAUCGGCCCCCGCGCCCAUCCUCACCUUCUUGAUAUGAGCCGCAAUGUCCUUCUCUAUGUUGUAUUUCUCCAGCGCCUGAGUAGCGCACUCCACCGAGUCCUGUUGCAUCUCUUCCGACAUGUCCGCAUUUUUGAUCACGGCCUUUCGGUCGCACAUGGUUACCUAGUGGGCAAGGCCUGGGGUGAGGGGUUGAGUUGGGCCGCGCCCCCCAGGCACUAACUGCCCCCACCCCGGCCGGCGCCACCACGGGACGACGCCCCCCCCCCCCCUUCUCAGGAAGCGCGGGCUACGCGGCUGGCUAAGUCUGGAGUGGGGCGAAAUAAGGCAGCGAGGACACCCCCUGGCCCCCCGAGUUUCUCACCGUGGAGAAGGGGGCUGGCCGACUGCAACGGUCUCCUGGGGGAGGUGCUAGCACAGCUCAGGCCCGGCUAGAGCUACCGUCGCUACCGAAGCCGUGGCGCAUCUAAGCAGCCCCACGCCAGCCGCCGCCGCCUAGUGCUCAGGCCCCGCCCUGCUCCCGCCGGCCCCGCCCCUCGCCGCGCGACCCUAUUGGCUUGACGCAGCCCACGGCAUUCUUCCAUUGGUCCAUGGACUCCAUGGUUCCCUCAGGAUCUUUCUCCUGCAUUUUGUUGCAGACCACAAUGCACCGCUCACGGCGUCGGUUGCCCGGGCAAUGGGCCGCACGCUACGAGGCCCACACACCCAGAAGGUGGAGCCCCGGCCCGGUUACGAGGACCACCCAGCUGUCUGGAGAGAUGAAGAAAAUGAGGUUCAAAGAGAUGAAGUCUCUUGCCUGAAGUCAGUGACAGAAAGUGACAGAGCUGGGAUGUGAAUCCUGGUCUGACUCCACAGUCCCACAUGGUAGAUGGAACCUCUGAGCAACACCUAAACAAAGGGAGCUGAUGCCUCCGAACAGAGUGAUGUCACUGGAGACACUAAGCAUCGUCGGCCCCUGGCGGGAGCUCCCUAAAUAUGUGUUGGAUGGAUGGAAGAAAGGAUGGAUAGUUCAGAGUACUUCAGCCUUGAUUCCUCCGCAACAGACACCUCAAACUUGACCCUACAUUGGUUCUUGGCCAUCGUGAUCUUCCUUGGACAGAAUCACCUUUCAGCUCCGGUCAUCAGACUUUCCCAGGGCCCUCAGAAAGCCCUUCAGAGUUGUUACUCACAGGCAGGCUGAGGGAUUCCUUACGGGGUCUGCAGCUCUCCUCACCUCAUCCACAAGUAGGACCGUGGCCUGUGCCUCACUACUGCCCCAGGAUCACUCUGUUCCCAGCCCAGUCCAGCAAUCACUUGUCUAGCUUUCUGGAACCUUGAGUACUUUCUUGAACCAUGAGUCCUGUGACCACCCUAGCAGCUCUAACCCUCCCUUACCUGAAAGGAAGUGUGAGGUGACCUUGCAGGUCCCAGAGUUGAUUGAAGACCCCAUCCAGAAAGAAGGCACCCUGUGGGAGAGAUUGCAAGGCCUAGGUCUGAAUCCGGAAGCUUCCACCCCAUGGAGAAGGGCUGGCACCAGCCUGGGGCUGGCAGUGGAGCUGAGCUUUGGAGCCAAGGACUGUACUGCAGUGCAGGGAGAGUGAGGCCAGAAAGGCUGAGACAACUCAGGGAAAGAAAACCUCCCUUCUGGCUAAUAGUCAAGCACCGCCUGAGUGGACCAACACUCUCCUGUCCACAGGGGCAGCAGAUGAAGACACAUCCAGAGAGGACUAACAGGCCCCCUCAGCUCCCAGUCAGAGGGCAGAGCAACACAGAAUAGACAUUAAAGGAACAGACUUUGAGGCCAGGCAGCCUUGGGUGUGCAUCUGUCCCUACUAAGCCAUGUGACAUUAAACAAGUGAGUCCACCUCUCUGAGCCUCAGGUUCCUCAUCUGUAAAAUGGGGAUUAUAAGAGUUCUUGUUUCUCAGGGACAAUGUGAGGAUUAAGUGAGAUGAUACACAUAGAGAAUGUGGUGCAGUACUGGGCACAUGGCAAAGAUCAGUGAUGCUAGCUACCACUUAUCAUUAGUGUUCCUGUAGACCAGGACUUCUCAACCUUGGCACUAUUCACCUUUUGGGCCAGAAAGUUUUUUUUGUUGUUGUGGGGAGCUGUCCUAUGCAUUUGAGGAUGUUUAACAGCACCCCUGGCCUCUACCCACUAGAUGCCAAUCACACCACACCCCCAGUUUCAACAACCAAAAAUGUCUGCAGAUGGUGCCAAAUGUCUUCUGGAGGGUGAAAUCACUCCCCAGCCGUUGAAAAGCACCACCCUAAACAAUCUGGACUGAAUUUGAAUGUCACAGAUCCCAAGCUCACAGCUCCAUGUAAAGGCCACAAGGCAGGCAGGCCUACUUGCAGAUGAAGGAACGGAAAGAGCAACAAUUACAGAUCAAGUGGCUAGCUCCGGUGUAGACUAAGAGGCGGGAUCUGUAGUCUGCUCUAGGAGCUAACAAGGCCUCUGUGACUCAGUAGGUGACCUCAGUGUCACUCUUUAAUUAUAUGCAAAGUGGUCUUGUGUUAACUCUUAAUUAUUCUAGGGCUCCAAACAAGAAAAUAGGUAGUUGGUAUCUGAUUUCUGGCAUCAAGAUCCUGAUUCAUUGACUGGGAGAAAAUCUGACUCUCCAAAACUCUUUCAGAGUUCAUUUAGCCCUUCAUUUAUGACUCUGGGGAGAUUUCUGAGCGAGAGCUAGGUGUCAGGCCCUGUUCCAGGUGCUGGAGAUGCACAAGAGAACAAAAUAGGCAAAGUUUCCUUUUUAUGGAACUUAUAGCAGGAGA